Molecule: ribosomal RNA, 1311 nt
Filed under: Paenarthrobacter sp.
Lineage: Bacteria; Bacillati; Actinomycetota; Actinomycetes; Micrococcales; Micrococcaceae
Description: bacterial SSU rRNA
Rfam family: Bacterial small subunit ribosomal RNA
Source: RNAcentral
UAGUGGCGAACGGGUGAGUAACACGUGAGUAACCUGCCCUUGACUCUGGGAUAAGCCUGGGAAACUGGGUCUAAUACCGGAUACGACCAUCUGACGCAUGUCAUGGUGGUGGAAAGCUUUUGUGGUUUUGGAUGGACUCGCGGCCUAUCAGCUUGUUGGUGGGGUAAUGGCCUACCAAGGCGACGACGGGUAGCCGGCCUGAGAGGGUGACCGGCCACACUGGGACUGAGACACGGCCCAGACUCCUACGGGAGGCAGCAGUGGGGAAUAUUGCACAAUGGGCGCAAGCCUGAUGCAGCGACGCCGCGUGAGGGAUGACGGCCUUCGGGUUGUAAACCUCUUUCAGUAGGGAAGAAGCGAAAGUGACGGUACCUGCAGAAGAAGCGCCGGCUAACUACGUGCCAGCAGCCGCGGUAAUACGUAGGGCGCAAGCGUUAUCCGGAAUUAUUGGGCGUAAAGAGCUCGUAGGCGGUUUGUCGCGUCUGCUGUGAAAGACCGGGGCUCAACUCCGGUUCUGCAGUGGGUACGGGCAGACUAGAGUGCAGUAGGGGAGACUGGAAUUCCUGGUGUAGCGGUGAAAUGCGCAGAUAUCAGGAGGAACACCGAUGGCGAAGGCAGGUCUCUGGGCUGUAACUGACGCUGAGGAGCGAAAGCAUGGGGAGCGAACAGGAUUAGAUACCCUGGUAGUCCAUGCCGUAAACGUUGGGCACUAGGUGUGGGGGACAUUCCACGUUUUCCGCGCCGUAGCUAACGCAUUAAGUGCCCCGCCUGGGGAGUACGGCCGCAAGGCUAAAACUCAAAGGAAUUGACGGGGGCCCGCACAAGCGGCGGAGCAUGCGGAUUAAUUCGAUGCAACGCGAAGAACCUUACCAAGGCUUGACAUGAACCGGAAAGACCUGGAAACAGGUGCCCCGCUUGCGGUCGGUUUACAGGUGGUGCAUGGUUGUCGUCAGCUCGUGUCGUGAGAUGUUGGGUUAAGUCCCGCAACGAGCGCAACCCUCGUUCUAUGUUGCCAGCGCGUUAUGGCGGGGACUCAUAGGAGACUGCCGGGGUCAACUCGGAGGAAGGUGGGGACGACGUCAAAUCAUCAUGCCCCUUAUGUCUUGGGCUUCACGCAUGCUACAAUGGCCGGUACAAAGGGUUGCGAUACUGUGAGGUGGAGCUAAUCCCAAAAAGCCGGUCUCAGUUCGGAUUGGGGUCUGCAACUCGACCCCAUGAAGUCGGAGUCGCUAGUAAUCGCAGAUCAGCAACGCUGCGGUGAAUACGUUCCCGGGCCUUGUACACACCGCCCGUCAAGUCACGAAAGUUGGU